Molecule: long non-coding RNA, 952 nt
Organism: Eriocheir sinensis (Chinese mitten crab)
Lineage: Eukaryota; Metazoa; Arthropoda; Malacostraca; Decapoda; Varunidae
Exons: 7
Source: RefSeq, a predicted model, not a curated record
GGUUUAGUGUGAUAAGGAGUCUGAUUGUGAUACCGCAAACACUUCUCCUCAUUUAACCCGCUUAAUACCCCUCCUGGACCCUCGCCCGCGCCGCCUGUCACGCACCGCCAAGAGAGAACAAGCUCCAGCGUACCGGGAGACGCAGAAGGCGCCGCUGGAGACUCCCGCCGGAGAAUUAGAGGAGAAAACAUCGGCAGCAUCGCCAGCACCGUGAGGAACAGAACCAUGAGCAGCCAGGAGACAGCCGGCCGUGGGAGGCACUCGAGAAUUCAGCAUCAACGCAAAGAGUGGUCGUGUCCUGGUCGUUGCAGUCUCACACCUGACGAUUAAGGGGACGAGGACCGGGACAGGUCCAGCCUCCAAUAAUGCAGAAUGGGAGUCAUCCAUCACCACAGCCUCUGCACCAGCAGGGGAAUUCUGGCCAUCCUCACCGCCACCGCCUAAGGGGAGAUACAUGCACAGGAAAUGAACUGCCUCUCUUACUUGCAAGAGGAGAGCCAGUAAGCUUGCCCCAGUUGUACACAAAUGGAGCCCGAGCCCAGCUGGUGGCAGGUGUAACCAGAGUCCCAGUCAUAGUGGUGGAUGUCUCCGUUGAGAAGGUUGUUGCGCGAACGACUAACUCCCUCGAUGACCAGUGCACUCUUGGUCACUAGUGCCACAUUCUCUCGAGGAACUGUGGAGUGGGUCCACUUCUUGCUUGGAGUAAUAUGCCUCAAAGGCUACCACAUGGAACACCCGGUUAACAGUGUUGUUGGUGCCGACAAUGCGAAUGUAGCGGACAACGCGGGGUUGGAAGUAAAGAUACUGCCAAGACCGGCAGUGGUAGCGCGUGUGGUCCACCACCCGCACCCAGUCCUUUUGGUCCAUGGACACCUCGAUGUAGUACGAGUACCCCCUGCCAGAAUAGCAGACUGAUUAUGGUUGUUUAAUAAAAACCUCAAAGUCUACAGAA